Molecule: long non-coding RNA, 1263 nt
Filed under: Coturnix japonica (Japanese quail)
Lineage: Eukaryota; Metazoa; Chordata; Aves; Galliformes; Phasianidae
Description: lncRNA (ENSCJPG00005000904.1)
Source: RNAcentral
CAGCAGAUUGUGGAAGCUGUGCACUGAGAUAUAGGAAAGGAAAUCUUUCAUGAUGGAGGAGGUAAUAGGAUUACAAUGCAUGCUCCCUCUGCUCUUCCAUGGAGCCAGGCAGCAGGGGGCUGGAAAGCAACCAUCAGAGUCCAGCCUGCAGCCACAGAUUGGAGAGCCAAGCGUAUAGGAUGACAUGCUGGGCCUCACGGGGAGUUGAGCAGCCAUGAAGUGCUGGGGAAGGGCUCCUGAAACUGGCUGCAGAUCCCUGCUUGCCUGGAACACUUGUGAAAGAAGGUUCAAGUUAGGUUACCAAGAAAAUGUCCUGGGAGCUGGGACCUGGUGUGUAGGUUGAGGCUAUCAAAAGCACAGUGGAAAAGAAUCCCACCCUUGGGAGUACUGCAGGUGAGGAGGGAGGGGAUUUUGCAAAAAAUCCAGUGUUGCCAAGUCCUAAACCUGGCCAGCAGUCAUACUCACCCUCCUCCCAGAUCUUGACACCAAAUUUGAUAUUGUAGGAUGAUCACACUGUUGUUUUUCUUUUCCACAUUUCUUUAUAUUUAAGAUUUCUUUGCACAUGUUUGUGUAUGUGGCAACCCAUUAACUGUCACAGAGCUCUCCUAUGUGAACGAAGUCAAUUCAUUUUUGGCUUAUGUUGCAAAAAAUUUAAGGGCUAUCUGGUGAUGAAAAGCCUCUAGUUAUUCCUGACAGCCGUCCUCUCCAGAUACUCAUUUUCCCUUCCAACAUACCCACACUUGCUCAUCCUCUGUCUUGAUAAUUAAAUUAAGCAUAGCAGUUUUUCGUCCCUGACCCCUGCAUCUCAAGUGAUGCCCUCCCUUUCUCCAUGUACUGCCCUGUCUUUGCACCAGCAUGCAUCUUCAGCUGGGUCUCCAUGGUUCCUUCUGGUCACAUAACAUUAACACUUGUUUUCAGAGUGGGGAACAGCACUCUGCUUUGAAACUCCUGAGAACAUAUAGCACAUUUUAUACUAUUUAGAUGAUACAAAUAUUAGUGAAUUUGUGUGAGAGUGUACCACAAGGAAUACAUUUUCAGACACAAAAAAAUGUCUAGUGAUUGAUAAAAUAGCAUUGUGUACCAUUUUGCCAAAGGGAAGCUUUUUCUUGUGGAAUUCUUGCAAUGAAGCCAUUCUGAGAAAGAAAUUGUUAACUACUACAUUGUCUUAUCUUUCUGAAGUACCAUGCUAUGAAUAUACUCUUUAUGCUCAUGACUGUACAUUCAUCUCAGAAAAUAAAAAAUAAAUAAUAAAUAUUUCUUGCA